GUCAACCAAAUGAUGUGUCAUUACAAGAAGCAAUGAUGCAUAACAUCAAAGAGAGUUGGACCCACCACAUUUCAUCACACUUCUGCUAGCAUUCCAGAAGACCUUCUUGUUCUGCCUUCUUCACCAUUGCUGCAAGAGCUGAAUCAAAUAUCCAGAGCUACCCCAGGGCAAUUAAAUUGGAUGUUCUGCUUUGCCCUGGAGAGUGGGCUAAACUGAUAGCAGAUCAGACAGCUAAACUACCAGAUCAAUGUGGGAUCGAAGAGUCAAUGGUGGUGCUUCAGAGCCCAGAAGCAAAGCAGGAACGCUGCUCCUGGAAGAAGAGAGGAGAUAAUGCUCCAUUAUGAAGAAAACAAUUUGUUUGUUGCUUCUGAAGGAAACAUGAUGUUUAGUUUUGACUUCAAACUGAGAGGUUCCAGAAGGUACAAAAUGAGUUUGCCUUUCUUAAGUUAUCCUGUUUUUCAUUUUCUUAUUUUCCCACUGACUGAGAAAGCAAUUACUGCCACCCUUUCUUGACUAGCUAGCCGGUUCUUUCUUAUGAAAAUGUGAACCAUAAGUUGAAGAGACUACUUGAAGUUCUGUCUAUGAUGAGCUGUUCCAUGCCAUAGGUCACUAAAAUACUUUUGGUGAGAUUUCCUUGAAAUUUUUCUGUCGUAUUGUCCUCAGAAGCCACAAUCCAUUCAAUUGCCUCUGUGGGACUACACAGCAUAAUUCAUUUCAGGAGACUUCCUUUUUUAAUAGUUUUUGCUUCAAACCAUCUUAUUUCUAGUAGUUACACUCAAAUGUGUAUGUGUUUACAACUCACUGUUGACCCCCAGCAAACAAAAAGCUCUAGAGAUGCUACCACCAUGUACAUUCAUACAUAAAUGUGCAUACAUACAUACGGAUCCAGUAAAAUUAGUGCACUCAAUUAUCUGGCACCAAUGGUCUCUGCUUUGAAGAAUUCAGAGUGCUAUUUUUAGAAUGUUUUCAUAAAUGGGAACAUAGAUGACAGUCAUUCUGUAGAAUACAAAAUGUUAUACCUCUAUUAACUAGAGAACAAUAUGGAUGCUAAUAAAUACAGUUCACUGAAGUUCAGCGUUAUUGAUGUUCUUUUUCUUUUCUUUGUCCAGUC
Long non-coding RNA from Lynx canadensis (Canada lynx), 1111 nucleotides. RefSeq lists it as uncharacterized. The transcript is spliced from 3 exons. Lineage: Eukaryota; Metazoa; Chordata; Mammalia; Carnivora; Felidae. The record is from RefSeq and is a predicted model, not a curated record.